CAGUCGCCGCGGUAAUACGUAGGGUGCAAGCGUUAAUCGGAAUUACUGGGCGUAAAGCGUGCGCAGGCGGUUUGUUAAGACAGAUGUGAAAUCCCCGGGCUCAACCUGGGAACUGCAUUUGUGACUGGCAGGCUAGAGUAUGGCAGAGGGGGGUGGAAUUCCGCGUGUAGCAGUGAAAUGCGUAGAUAUGCGGAGGAACACCGAUGGCGAAGGCAGCCCCCUGGGCCAAUACUGACGCUCAUGCACGAAAGCGUGGGGAGCAAACAGGAUUAGAGACCCCUGUAGUCCCUGUCUCUUAUAC
This 301-nucleotide ribosomal RNA is filed under the name uncultured bacterium. Its description in RNAcentral is "partial 16S ribosomal RNA". It matches the Rfam family "Bacterial small subunit ribosomal RNA", at positions 509 to 807 of the family's 1533-position model. The record is from RNAcentral.